Molecule: long non-coding RNA, 2562 nt
Organism: Helianthus annuus (common sunflower)
Lineage: Eukaryota; Viridiplantae; Streptophyta; Magnoliopsida; Asterales; Asteraceae
Exons: 3
Source: RefSeq, a predicted model, not a curated record
UGUGACUAAAGUUACUAAAUGGACACAGGAAAAUUUACAAAACCUAAAUUAACCCCCACCAAGUUCAGGAGAUCUCCACCGUGUCUCCGCCACGACCACGACCACCGCCAAUUCCAACUUCCACAAAACCCUAACCAAUUUUAGUUACCACUUAUCAUCAACGCUAUCCUCUCAUCUACUCUCCUCCGUAACACAAGUUAAGCGUAUGAUUCAGUUUGAAGCAAGCUAUAAUGAGAUUACUCCGAUCGAUUUUCACUUUCCUCCUCCUCCGGAUGCAGGCGAGGUAAUUCGAAAACAUCUUUGUGGAGACUCUAGACUCUAAGAGAUCUAAAAUCAAAGGGAACUUCAAUGCAGCAACUGGUCGCUACUUCCUCUUACACAAGACCAAGCUACUUACAACGCUCUUUGUUUAAUUCACAUUUUUUGAUGUUUUUCAGCAAAGGCUUCUCAAACAAGGGUUUUUAUUCUCUUUUUAUAUUCUAAUUGUUUGCUAGUUGGGCUAAAUGAACAUAUAUACAUUACCUUUUUGUUAAUGGUUGCUGAUGCAUUCCUAUCCAAAGCCACAAAUAUAAGGUAAUUUGUUGUUUUUUUGCAUUGUGUAUGAUUUGGAGUUAGUUUUGCAAUAAACAAGAUACAGGGUUGCUGCUUAUUUGAUGUAUCAUACAAUAUAUAACCACAACUUUUGACUAAAAUUACAAAAAAUAAUGCAAUGUUUUGGAGUAUAAUUUGGAAGAUGGUCAAUAAGACAAGCUGACCUUGCACAAACAGAGCCACAUAGAAGGAACUGGCAACCUUUGCUUUUAAAGUAAACAAAAACUUUGUUAGCAAGCAGACUCGAUCUCGAAACAGUUGCUUAAAAUUCCACCAUCUAACCAUUAGACCUUUUUUCAUUUUAUUUACAGGUUCACUCCAGAUUUUAUUAAUGGACUCAUUUCAAGUUUUUUAUAUAACCGCUCAAUUAAAAUUUCGAAACUUAGUGGGUUUGGGUGAACCCAGACCAAUAUAUGUAGGUCCACCCCUGCCAUUGAGGAUGGAAAGUUCUUUUGUGAGACUGUAAGCCUGCACUUGAAUCUUGUAACAUCACUAAGGUUAUUCAUGGUUGCAAACAAGAUAGUGAGUUCUUUAACUGAUACAAUUGUCUUAUGACAUUUUCAUUCUUUCUUGGUGUUUGCAGGCCUCUAUUUUCUUAUGAACAUGUGUGAAAAGGGUAGGAUUAUAUGGAGCAUGGUUCUUUACUUCUUUACAACACCAAUGUCCACUUGAUUACUAUGUUUUAUUAACUUAUGUCAGCAACAUGGCUAGAUUUGUCGAGGGUCAUCAAUGUAUUUCAUUAAACUUUUUGGCAGUUUCACUCACUAACGGGUCAAUCUCGUUAUAUUGGUAAGUCAUUAUUAGGACCGUAUCAAAAACGUUUUAAUGAAAAGGGCCUCCAUUUUAGUAUUCGCUAUGGGCCCCCAAAUUGCUUGGGCCAUCCCUGCCGGUUUGUAUUCUGUAAUCAUAUAUUCUUUAUGGUUAAACGUCUACUGAUAUUAUGUUCAGCUUGCUUGCUGGAGUUGUUGAAGUUGAGGACACAUUGAGGUCCCACUAUUAAGUUUGUACACGGAACUCGUAGGGGUGCAAACGAGCCGAGCUACUCGAAAAAGCUCGAACGAGCCGAGUUUAAACGAGCUCGAGUCUGAUGCCUGAGUCUAAGAAACAAGCUUCUUUAGUAAAGGAGCCUGAGCUUCGCUUAUCGUGCCGGCUCGCGAGCGUAUUGUUUAUAUAAGUUUUUAUUACUAUAUUAAAUAUAAAUUUAAAUAAUAAUAAUAAUAAAGUCAUGAAAAAAUAACUAAAUUGUAUAUGACGUAAUAUUAUAAUUAACAUAAAUUAACUAACAAAUAGAAAAUGAGCUGAGCUCGAGCUUGAAAAAAUACCUACGAGCCGAGCUCGAGCUUUAAAAAUAAAGCUCGAAUUAAGCCGAGCUCGAAUUCUCAUAAGUUAAACAAGCUCGAGCUUGAGCUUAGUUGAGCUCGGGCUUGGCUCGGCUCGUUUGCACCCUAGCCGAAAGGAAGGUAUAUAAAGCAGUAUUCUAGUAGGCAUAUUUUUAUAAGAUUGUACUUGUGUUUAAUGUAUUCUCAACCAGGAUUCAAACGUGUCGCUUAAUGAAGACGUCUUCUUGAGAAGAGCUAUGCUCACCCAAAUUACAAAAAAAAAGGUGGUCAAAAUGAGCGAAACAGAGUAUACAAGCAUAUAUGGUCGUGCGAAGCACCUCAACGUGUCCUAAAAACGCCUUUCUUCUUGGAAUGGAGAAAUCUAGCAAAUCAUGAAAAGGGAGGAAAGUUAUCAGCAGAGGCAAAAGUCAAAUGAUGCCAACAUUCUUUGGUGGAAGUGUGGACUCAUAUUUCUUAUUUGUAUUCUUGCCUUGUAUCUUUUUUCUUACAAUAGUUGUAUAGAUAUGUGUUCCAAUUAGAUAGUAUUUAACUUCUUUAAAAUUUACUCUCAGAACUUAUAUAGUUGUAUAUUUUUCCUUAAAAGUGAACGGAACUCUGGCUUAUAUUUUGAAUAUGUCAAAGUGUUCCAAUG